GCGGUAGUAGUCUAACGGCAGGACGUGGCCUUGCCAAGGCUGCAGUCCGGGUUCGAAUCCCGGCUACCGCA
This 71-nucleotide transfer RNA is filed under the name Candidatus Woesearchaeota archaeon. RNAcentral's name for it is "tRNA-Gly". It matches the Rfam family "tRNA". Rfam says of the family: Transfer RNA (tRNA) molecules are approximately 80 nucleotides in length. The record is from RNAcentral. Lineage: Archaea; Nanobdellati; Candidatus Woesearchaeota.